Molecule: long non-coding RNA, 1163 nt
Organism: Cercocebus atys (sooty mangabey)
Lineage: Eukaryota; Metazoa; Chordata; Mammalia; Primates; Cercopithecidae
Exons: 5
Source: RefSeq, a predicted model, not a curated record
CCACUGCACUCCAGCUUGGGCAACAGAGCGAGACUGUGUCUCCAAAAAAAUAAAAAAUAACUUCAAGAGAGGCAUCUGUAUUGAGCAUGACUUAUUUUCUGUCAGUCAUGUACAGCAUUGUAGUGAAUGGAGCAAAACAACUGUCCCUUCCCACCAGUCAACUGCCUCUUGGUUGUAUAUGAAUUCCUUCCUUUGCAAAUUUCUUUGCUUCGUUUCUUUUAAAUAAGAAUAGUAAAGUUUUAAUCUUUUGGUUUCCAGGGUGAUCACAUUAUCAAAAUGAGGGAAUUUGGGGGGUGGUGGGGAGGGACAUCUGGUAAGAUAUUAGCAGAAUAAUCCUACAAAAAAAAGGAAAGUUAUUUGAUUACACCCACCCUCAGGCAUUGAAAAGGGGUGGGAAGUGAAUGGAGUAAACACCUGACCACAGCGAGCUGGGACUGAGGACAAAGGAGUACACACAGGACAAUAGAAACAUCUGAGAUGAAAAACGAGUGGUUCUCCUCUUCUGGACUUUGAGGUUAUAAGGAGGCUGGCUAAAAACUUGGGUUUACAUUAAUUUAUUCAGAUGGCCCGUACUUUGGAACCACUAGCAAAGAAGAUCUUUAAAGGAAUUUUGGUAGCCGAACUUGUAGGCCUUUUUGGAGCAUAUUUUUUGUUUAGCAAGAUGCACACAAGCCAAGAUUUCAGGCAAACAAUGAGCAAGAAAUAUCCCUUCAUCUUGGAAGUUUAUUACAAAUCCACUGAGAAGUCUGGAAUGUAUGGAAUCAGAGAGCUGGAUCAAAAAACAUGGUUGAACAGCAAAAAUUAGAUCCAGUCAUCACGUUCAGCCUCCCAUCUAAGCUGUUUGAGACCUUUGGGAGAAGAAAAGAUGAGUGUACUACCACACUGUAGACUCCUGGCGGUCCCACAGAACAUGCUGCUGAGUCACAGGAACUUCUAGCCUGCCUUGACCUGCUGUUUCCCACCCACUGUACAAACCCACUGCUUGUUUGUUGCUUUUCUUCUCAUAUUUAUUGUCAAAGAUUAAUGUUUCAUAAAGAAAUGACUAAGGAAGGAAAAGAAACAAAUGCUCUAAAGAUCUUCUUUCCCCAAGCAGUUUUACUGGUGAAAUAAAAACCAGUAACAAUCAAUAUCAGAAAUAAUUAAAAUGUCUAUAAACAUGUAAA